Molecule: non-coding RNA, 418 nt
Organism: Kogia breviceps (pygmy sperm whale)
Lineage: Eukaryota; Metazoa; Chordata; Mammalia; Artiodactyla; Physeteridae
Source: RefSeq, a predicted model, not a curated record
GGCCGGGGCGGGGUUGAGGAUGCCAGCUCCGGGCUGAGGCCGCGCCGGUUUAAUGUCUGCUCUUCGGCUGGAAUAAGAUGUUCAAGUGAGCCAGAGGCAGGAAGAACCAGUUUAAUCUUCACAGCUGCGGGCCAGGAGAGAUGGUGAGUUGAUGAUGGAGAAAUAGAGCCCCAGAGAAGUAAAAUCAAUAACUCUACUCACGAGCGACAACUACUGAGCCCACGAGCCACAGCUACUGAAGCCUGCAUGCCUAGAGCCUGUGCUCCGCAACAAGAGAAGUCACCGCAAUGAGAAUCCCCCGCACCGCAAUGAAGAGUAGACCCCGCUCACCACAACUAGAGAAAGCCCGCAUGCAGCAACAAAGACCCAACACAGCCAAAAAUAUAUAAAUAAAUAAAUUUAUUUAAAAAAUUAAAAA